This 3013-nucleotide ribosomal RNA is filed under the name Salmonella enterica subsp. enterica serovar Typhimurium. Its description in RNAcentral is "23S ribosomal RNA". It matches the Rfam family "Bacterial large subunit ribosomal RNA". The record is from RNAcentral. Lineage: Bacteria; Pseudomonadati; Pseudomonadota; Gammaproteobacteria; Enterobacterales; Enterobacteriaceae.
GGGUUGUGAGGUUAAGCGACUAAGCGUACACGGUGGAUGCCCUGGCAGUCAGAGGCGAUGAAGGGCGUGCUAAUCUGCGAUAAGCGCCGGUAAGGUGAUAUGAACCGUUAUAACCGGCGAUACCCGAAUGGGGAAACCCAGUGUGAUUCGUCACACUAUCAUUAACUGAAUCCAUAGGUUAAUGAGGCGAACCGGGGGAACUGAAACAUCUAAGUACCCCGAGGAAAAGAAAUCAACCGAGAUUCCCCCAGUAGCGGCGAGCGAACGGGGAGGAGCCCAGAGCCUGAAUCAGCAUGUGUGUUAGUGGAAGCGUCUGGAAAGGUGCGCGAUACAGGGUGACAGCCCCGUACACAAAAGCGCAUGUGCUGUGAGCUCGAUGAGUAGGGCGGGACACGUGGUAUCCUGUCUGAAUAUGGGGGGACCAUCCUCCAAGGCUAAAUACUCCUGACUGACCGAUAGUGAACCAGUACCGUGAGGGAAAGGCGAAAAGAACCCCGGCGAGGGGAGUGAAAAAGAACCUGAAACCGUGUACGUACAAGCAGUGGGAGCACAGGUUUACCUGUGUGACUGCGUACCUUUUGUAUAAUGGGUCAGCGACUUAUAUUCUGUAGCAAGGUUAACCGUAUAGGGGAGCCGGAGGGAAACCGAGUCUUAAUUGGGCGUUAAGUUGCAGGGUAUAGACCCGAAACCCGGUGAUCUAGCCAUGGGCAGGUUGAAGGUUGGGUAACACUAACUGGAGGACCGAACCGACUAAUGUUGAAAAAUUAGCGGAUGACCUGUGGCUGGGGGUGAAAGGCCAAUCAAACCGGGAGAUAGCUGGUUCUCCCCGAAAGCUAUUUAGGUAGCGCCUCGUGAAUUCAUCUCCGGGGGUAGAGCACUGUUUCGGCUAGGGGGCCAUCCCGGCUUACCAACCCGAUGCAAACUGCGAAUACCGGAGAAUGUUAUCACGGGAGACACACGGCGGGUGCUAACGUCCGUCGUGAAGAGGGAAACAACCCAGACCGCCAGCUAAGGUCCCAAAGUCAUGGUUAAGUGGGAAACGAUGUGGGAAGGCCCAGACAGCCGUGAUGUUGGCUUAGAAGCAGCCAUCAUUUAAAGAAAGCGUAAUAGCUCACUGGUCGAGUCGGCCUGCGCGGAAGAUGUAACGGGGCUAAACCAUGCACCGAAGCUGCGGCAGCGAACGUAUCACCCAAGACAACUUUACGGAGUUGACGAUUGACGGAGCGAAGCGACGUCAAAGCGUUCAUUAAAGUCGAGUUGGCUUAGGGAUACGUUCGUUGGGUAGGGGAGCGUUCUGUAAGCCUGUGAAGGUGUGUCGUGAGGCAUGCUGGAGGUAUCAGAAGUGCGAAUGCUGACAUAAGUAACGAUAAAGCGGGUGAAAAGCCCGCUCGCCGGAAGACCAAGGGUUCCUGUCCAACGUUAAUCGGGGCAGGGUGAGUCGACCCCUAAGGCGAGGCCGAAAGGCGUAGUCGAUGGGAAACGGGUUAAUAUUCCCGUACUUGGUGUUACUGCGAAGGGGGGACGGAGAAGGCUAUGUUGGCCGGGCGACGGUUGUCCCGGUUUAAGCGUGUAGGUGUGUGUUCCAGGUAAAUCCGGUUCACUUUAACACUGAGGCGUGACGACGAGGCACUACGGUGCUGAAGCAACAAAUGCCCUGCUUCCAGGAAAAGCCUCUAAGCAUCAGGUAACAUCAAAUCGUACCCCAAACCGACACAGGUGGUCAGGUAGAGAAUACCAAGGCGCUUGAGAGAACUCGGGUGAAGGAACUAGGCAAAAUGGUGCCGUAACUUCGGGAGAAGGCACGCUGACACGUAGGUGAAGUGAUUUACUCAUGGAGCUGAAGUCAGUCGAAGAUACCAGCUGGCUGCAACUGUUUAUUAAAAACACAGCACUGUGCAAACACGAAAGUGGACGUAUACGGUGUGACGCCUGCCCGGUGCCGGAAGGUUAAUUGAUGGGGUCAGCGUAAGCGAAGCUCCUGAUCGAAGCCCCGGUAAACGGCGGCCGUAACUAUAACGGUCCUAAGGUAGCGAAAUUCCUUGUCGGGUAAGUUCCGACCUGCACGAAUGGCGUAAUGAUGGCCAGGCUGUCUCCAUCCGAGACUCAGUGAAAUUGAACUCGCUGUGAAGAUGCAGUGUACCCGCGGCAAGACGGAAAGACCCCGUGAACCUUUACUAUAGCUUGACACUGAACAUUGAGCCUUGAUGUGUAGGAUAGGUGGGAGGCUUUGAAGUGUGGACGCCAGUCUGCAUGGAGCCGACCUUGAAAUACCACCCUUUAAUGUUUGAUGUUCUAACGUGGACCCGUAAUCCGGGUUGCGGACAGUGUCUGGUGGGUAGUUUGACUGGGGCGGUCUCCUCCUAAAGAGUAACGGAGGAGCACGAAGGUUGGCUAAUCCUGGUCGGACAUCAGGAGGUUAGUGCAAUGGCAUAAGCCAGCUUGACUGCGAGCGUGACGGCGCGAGCAGGUGCGAAAGCAGGUCAUAGUGAUCCGGUGGUUCUGAAUGGAAGGGCCAUCGCUCAACGGAUAAAAGGUACUCCGGGGAUAACAGGCUGAUACCGCCCAAGAGUUCAUAUCGACGGCGGUGUUUGGCACCUCGAUGUCGGCUCAUCACAUCCUGGGGCUGAAGUAGGUCCCAAGGGUAUGGCUGUUCGCCAUUUAAAGUGGUACGCGAGCUGGGUUUAGAACGUCGUGAGACAGUUCGGUCCCUAUCUGCCGUGGGCGCUGGAGAACUGAGGGGGGCUGCUCCUAGUACGAGAGGACCGGAGUGGACGCAUCACUGGUGUUCGGGUUGUCAUGCCAAUGGCACUGCCCGGUAGCUAAAUGCGGAAGAGAUAAGUGCUGAAAGCAUCUAAGCACGAAACUUGCCCCGAGAUGAGUUCUCCCUGAGACUUAGAGUCUCCUGAAGGAACGUUGAAGACGACGACGUUGAUAGGCCGGGUGUGUAAGCGCAGCGAUGCGUUGAGCUAACCGGUACUAAUGAACCGUGAGGCUUAACCUUACAACGCCGAAG